GGACCCGCACAAGUAGUGGAGCAUGUGGUUUAAUUCGAAGAUACGCGCAGAACCUUACCAACACUUGACAUGUUCGUCGCGACUUUAAGAGAUUAAAGUUUUCGGUUCGGCCGGACGAAACACAGGUGCUGCAUGGCUGUCGUCAGCUCGUGUCGUGAGAUGUUGGGUUAAGUCCCGCAACGAGCGCAACCCUCACUUUUAGUUGCCAUCAUUUAGUUGGGCACUCUGAAAGAACUGCCAGUGAUAAGCUGGAGGAAGGUGGGGAUGACGUCAAGUCCUCAUGGCCCUUACGUGUUGGGCUACACACGUGCUACAAUGGUAUUUACAACAGGAAGCAAAACGGCGACGUUAAGCAAAUCCUUAAAAAAUACCUCAGUUCGGAUUGCACUCUGCAACUCGAGUGCAUGAAGCUGGAAUUACUAG
This 423-nucleotide ribosomal RNA is filed under the name uncultured bacterium. Its description in RNAcentral is "bacterial SSU rRNA". It matches the Rfam family "Bacterial small subunit ribosomal RNA", at positions 917 to 1338 of the family's 1533-position model. The record is from RNAcentral.